GACUCAUGAGACUCUCACAGAAACCUCUCCUGCCUCGUUUUUUUCAGAAAAUGAGAAACAAUAUUACAACACCGUAAAUAAUGAUAGUGGCAUUGACAUACAAUUUCAUGUUAUGUUUACCAGACUUGGCAUACAAAAUUAUAUCUUGUUAAAUGUUACAAGAUAUAAUUUUGUAUGCCGAGUCUGGUAAUCCCAGGGAAGUAGGCUACAUGUAAAUGCUGACAACUAAACACUGUCUUAAAGGGGUCAUAUGAUGCGAUUUCAAGUUUUUCUUUCACUUUGGAGUGUUACAAGCUCUUGUUGCAUAAAGAAGAUCUGUAAAGUUGACAAGACUAAAGUCUCAAACCCAAAGAGAUAUUCCUUAUAAAAGUUAAGACUUGUCCAUGGCCUCCUAAAACGCCUUGUUUAGUCACGACCCCACAUGUCUACAUCAUGAUGUAGGAAGAUUUACAUAACGCCACCCAAAAUGUUCAUGCAAUGAAAGAAGGCAUUGAUUCUCGCUGUUGCCGCUGGUGCCAUGUCGCGGAGAUGCUGUUUCGCUGUGAAAGCGAAAAUACUUUCCUUGGCCUUCCAAAAGAGGACACAACUAGGAAUCGGUCGCUGUGAUUUUGCCAGGUAAGACAUGUUCCUGGAUCAACAUCUUUUGAUGAUCCUGGAUCAACAUUAUUGUCCCAAUCCCUACCCCUAAACCUAAACUUACCCAUAAUUUAUUCAUAAAAUCAGUGGGAGUGUUUCCUGAUCCUGAGAGAGAAGACUAAAAUGCCGGCUGUUUUGACUCACCGUCUAGUGCAUGGAUACUGGACCACAUCAACCUCUGGAUAUUGCAAUGUGUCAAUGACUGUUAUACAACACACUAACCUUAAGCUAAAAGUGUGGCAGCACAACCUUGGAUGAAACUGGAAAUCAGGCAUGAAGCAAGAAAGGAGGGGAGCAACCAACCAGCCUCAGAUGCCAUUAAGAAAGGUGCUGCACUUUUUCUAAGUGUCAAUUGUUUUUGUGUCUCUUGAAGUAUAGAUGAUGUUUGAAUUCAGAGUAUUAAGUCCUGUGCCUGCUGUGUUAAAUUAUGGCCUGUGAGCGACUGGGUGGGGGUAAUCAAUGGCA
Molecule: long non-coding RNA, 1101 nt
Organism: Cyprinus carpio (common carp)
Lineage: Eukaryota; Metazoa; Chordata; Actinopteri; Cypriniformes; Cyprinidae
Source: Ensembl